CCUACGUCACUAGCGUACUUUGCGUAGCUGUACGACGGGAACCAGACUAUAUUUAUAUAUAGAUCUAAAAUGAUACAAACUUAAAAUAUGCGAAUAAUCAUAAACAUGAUAAAUAGAAGUAUUUAUAUACAAAGGGGAAAUACAGCGAAAUACUUUUUUUCUGAAACAAUUUAAACCGAACAGUAUCAUUUUAUUCUAUAGUGUUCAUUGUGUAAUAAUCAAACCACUGAAAUAGUUUGAAAUAAUUCAGAAUCGAAAACAGACAUUUUUACGGAAGCCUAAUAGGGCCGUUUUGAGUUAGAACUUGGAUGAAAACAAUUAGAAGUUAGAAGUUAUGACUUAGACCUUAGAACUUAGAGCUUAGAUGUUAGAAAUAUAAAAAGCGCGAAUUUACAGGAAAACACAGUGAGGGCCGGAAGAGAAAGAACAAGACAAAAGCCACGACGUCUUACUACACAAUAAUUUUUGGAGUGCUGUUCGUCUAUAUAACAACAGUAAAUAGUGUUGUGACUUCGGGUAUCACCGAUGCCAGUAAUAAUUCACCAUCUGUAAUAGCUUCAUACUUUUUAGAAACUGUAAAGGAAUAAGGUAUUGUGCCAAGGCUACUUCGUUGUGACAGAGGAACUGAAAAUGCAAAAUUGGCAUUGCUACAACCAUUUUUUUCAGAUACGAAGGUACAGACAGUGUUUCUGGUUUGAAAAGCUUCAUGUAUGGGAAGAAUGUAUCUAACCAGCGAAUAGAAUCUUGGUGGAAAUAUUGCGUAGACAAGGUGUUCACUAGUGGAUUGCGUAAUUUAAGGACAUCGUGGAUGCGAAUGUUCUUGAUAUAACAAACAAGGUGCACAUGAAUGUUUGAAAUACAGCUUCAUGGAUUUAAUCCAAGCAGUACUCGAUAUGAUUGCACAACAAUGGAAUGUCCCUGAAAUUCGAGCUCAAAAGCAUUCUGAUAAUCCGUGUGGAAUGCCAGAUGUUAUGAUUUUUGUACCGGAAAUAUAUGGUGGACACGGCUUUGGUCAUAACGUUGACCAGGAAGAUAUCGAGAUAUGCAUGGAGUUGUAUGGAGAACAAAAGCAGCUAUAUUCAGAUGAAACAAAAGAACUGUUUCAGCUGUUGUUCUGGAUCAUGUAAGACCUACGGAUGCAGAAGAAGCUUCAGAUUUGUACACACAAGCGCUACACUUGAUAGAUAAAUAUUCACAAACAUGUAACUGACAGUUUGUAUUUCGUAUGAAUUUAGCUGAUAUCAUAGAUGAACGGUCAAGUAAGCCAGUCGUUGAUUUUUUAUUGUUAGUUAAACUGGCUGCAAGUUAAUAUUUUGUGGACCGUUUUAAAGUGUUUACAAACUUGUGUCUUGACUGAAAUCAAAUUAUUCUGAAACUGUUAAGAGCUUUAAGCGUUACGUAUAAGGCGUACAUCAGCAGCACUCUUAAAACAGGAAACAAGACACAUUAAACUAUACUUUUCUUAUGUCUUGAGUAAUUUAUUCGCAUCUGGCGUACUAUUUUGGUUCAUAUUAUCAUAUUAUUUACCCUCGAUCCGUUUGCUCAUGUAACGCUGAAAUAAUUAUGUACAUGUAUUUGUUUCCUGACAUUUAAUGAAUUUUUUGCAUACUGGUACUUACAUAUGUUAAUAGAUGAUACAAUUGUGUUUAAGAUCAGUAUUAAAACAAGAGCCAUAUUAGACAUUGUCAAUCCCUCGUCGGGAAACGUGCAUUUAAGGAUAAACUUACUCCUAAUAUACUCAGUGUAUGAAGAUUGAAGGAAAUGCGUUUAGUACUUUUGGAGUUAUACUCCGGACAAAAUGUUAAAGUAAAUAUAAUAAAGAUCGAUAAUGUGGA
Molecule: long non-coding RNA, 1835 nt
Organism: Mercenaria mercenaria
Lineage: Eukaryota; Metazoa; Mollusca; Bivalvia; Venerida; Veneridae
Exons: 2
Source: RefSeq, a predicted model, not a curated record